This 223-nucleotide ribosomal RNA is filed under the name uncultured bacterium. Its description in RNAcentral is "partial 16S ribosomal RNA". It matches the Rfam family "Bacterial small subunit ribosomal RNA", at positions 118 to 339 of the family's 1533-position model. The record is from RNAcentral.
UGAGGGACAUGACUUUCGGCGGGGGAUAGCCGGCCCAACGGCCGGGUAAUACCGCGUACGACCUUUCGGGGACAUCCCCUGCUGGUGAAAGCAGCAAUGCACCGAAAGAGUGCCUCGCGGCCUAUCAGCUAGUUGGUGAGGUAACGGCUCACCAAGGCAACGACGGGUANCUGGUCUGAGAGGAUGGCCAGCCACAUUGGGACUGAGACACGGCCCAGACUCC